Molecule: long non-coding RNA, 317 nt
Filed under: Citrus x clementina
Lineage: Eukaryota; Viridiplantae; Streptophyta; Magnoliopsida; Sapindales; Rutaceae
Description: Citrus clementina (C. clementina) long non-coding RNA (CCLE_LNC003801)
Source: RNAcentral
CUGGACGAACUUGGCGCCCCGGCCUUCGGGCGGUUAUUUUUGGGCGCGGCUGUGCCCGCGGCCUAUUUUUGGCACACAGAGGGGCCUCGCAAAGUCUCGCGCCAUUUCGAGUGUGGCGGACGAAGUCGGCCAGCCCCACCCCCAAAGGCUAUAGCCCACCCGUUUUUGUGGCCUUUUUCCGCUGGACGAACUUGGCGCCCCGGCCUUCGGGCGGUUAUUUUUGGGCGCAACUGUGCCCGUACCCUAUUUUUGGCACACGGAGGCACCUCAUAGAGUCUCGCGCCAUUCCGAGUCCGGGGGACAAAGUUGGCCAGCCC